GCAUGUAUGGCUGAGGGGUCGAAAGCAACAGACUCAUAAUCUGUUUUCCGGUCGGACACCGCAGGUUCAAAUCCUGUUACAUGCA
RNAcentral lists this transfer RNA (85 nucleotides) under Xylochloris irregularis. RNAcentral describes it as "tRNA-Ile". It matches the Rfam family "tRNA". From Rfam's summary of the family: Transfer RNA (tRNA) molecules are approximately 80 nucleotides in length. Their secondary structure includes four short double-helical elements and three loops (D, anti-codon, and T loops). Further hydrogen bonds mediate the characteristic L-shaped molecular structure. tRNAs have two regions of fundamental functional importance: the anti-codon, which is responsible for specific mRNA codon recognition, and the 3' end, to which the tRNAs corresponding amino acid is attached (by aminoacyl-tRNA synthetases). tRNAs cope with the degeneracy of the genetic code in two manners: having more than one tRNA (with a specific anti-codon) for a particular amino acid; and 'wobble' base-pairing, i.e. permitting non-standard base-pairing at the 3rd anti-codon position. The record is from RNAcentral. Lineage: Eukaryota; Viridiplantae; Chlorophyta; Trebouxiophyceae.